UACGUAGGUGGCAAGCGUUGUCCGGAAUUACUGGGUGUAAAGGGCGUGUAGGCGGGACUGCCAGUCAGAUGUGAAAUUCCCAGGCUCAACCUGGGGGCUGCAUCUGAAACUGUGGUUCUUGAGUGCUGGAGAGGAAAGCGGAAUUCCUAGUGUAGCGGUGAAAUGCGUAGAUAUUAGGAGGAACACCAGUGGCGAAGGCGGCUUUCUGGACCGUAACUGACGCUGCGGCGCGAAAGCGUGGGGAGCAAACAGG
This 253-nucleotide ribosomal RNA is filed under the name uncultured bacterium. RNAcentral describes it as "partial 16S ribosomal RNA". It matches the Rfam family "Bacterial small subunit ribosomal RNA", at positions 524 to 776 of the family's 1533-position model. The record is from RNAcentral.